This 368-nucleotide transfer-messenger RNA is filed under the name Magnetococcales. Its description in RNAcentral is "JADGCH01 sp015229115 Standard tmRNA". It matches the Rfam family "transfer-messenger RNA". From Rfam's summary of the family: Bacterial tmRNA, also known as 10Sa RNA or SsrA, is named for its dual tRNA and mRNA-like properties. Its role is to liberate the mRNA from a stalled ribosome. RNAcentral also lists the same sequence under 1 other name. Lineage: Bacteria; Pseudomonadati; Pseudomonadota; Magnetococcia. The record is from RNAcentral.
GGGGGUGAAACGGUUUCGACGGGGUAUGAAAAGGUCUGAGAGGCGACUCGGCACGGCACCGCCGCAAUGGGCUAAAAACACAAUCGCCAAUGACGAAUUCUACGGCGAGGUUCGCGCCGCCGCCUAACCGCGACGUCGUGUAGCCUUGGGUCCUGAUUCGGACCUGGAAACAGAAGCUUUCGCAGAAUCAAGCCGGAAAUGAUGACGGCCGGUUAAAAUCCAGGGGAUCCCAGUGCUCCGAGGUAACGGAGGUUCCAAGGCCAGCCUGUCUGCAACGGCUGCGGAACUCCAUGACGGGCAGAUGGUCGUAAUUCCUACAGACGGAGUACAUAUUUCGGACGCGAGUUCGACUCUCGCCACCUCCACCA